This 73-nucleotide transfer RNA is filed under the name Salmonella enterica subsp. enterica serovar Infantis. RNAcentral's name for it is "tRNA-Thr". It matches the Rfam family "tRNA". Rfam says of the family: Transfer RNA (tRNA) molecules are approximately 80 nucleotides in length. RNAcentral also lists the same sequence under 8 other names. The record is from RNAcentral. Lineage: Bacteria; Pseudomonadati; Pseudomonadota; Gammaproteobacteria; Enterobacterales; Enterobacteriaceae.
GCAUCUGUAGCUCAGUUGGUAGAGCAAACGCCUUGUAAGCGUUAGGCCGCUGGAUCGUACCCAGUCAGGUGCA